GUAGGUGGCAAGCGUUGUCCGGAAUUACUGGGUGUAAAGGGAGCGUAGGCGGGAAAGCAAGUUGGGAGUGAAAUGUAUGGGCUCAACCCAUAAACUGCUUUCAAAACUGUUUUUCUUGAGUGAAGUAGAGGCAGGCGGAAUUCCUAGUGUAGCGGUGAAAUGCGUAAAUAUUAGGAGGAACACCAGUGGCGAAGGCGGCCUGCUGGGCUUUAACUGACGCUGAGGCUCGAAAGCGUGGGUAGCAAACAGGAUUAGAUACCCUGGUAGUCCACGCCGUAAACGAUGAUUACUAGGUGUGGGGGGACUGACCCCUUCCGUGCCGGAGUUAACACAAUAAGUAAUCCACCUGGGGAGUACGACCGCAAGGUUG
This 370-nucleotide ribosomal RNA is filed under the name uncultured bacterium. RNAcentral's name for it is "bacterial SSU rRNA". It matches the Rfam family "Bacterial small subunit ribosomal RNA", at positions 527 to 896 of the family's 1533-position model. The record is from RNAcentral.